RNAcentral lists this long non-coding RNA (251 nucleotides) under Arachis ipaensis. RNAcentral's name for it is "long non-coding RNA (AIPA_LNC001830)". The record is from RNAcentral. Lineage: Eukaryota; Viridiplantae; Streptophyta; Magnoliopsida; Fabales; Fabaceae.
UGUACCGUACCAGACCAGAUACAUCUAUUGAGUGAGAGAAAGGUAGCAGCUUAUAUAUAUUAUUCAUUUUGGAUAUGGAUAGGGAUCCCCAGAUUCCCGUCACUAUGGAUUGAUUGUCUUUACCUAACUAUAUGGUAGUGGUCUAGGGAGCGCAAUUGCCAGAGCACGGGAGAAUGAAGAGUAAUGAUUUCAGCAAGAGCAGCCGGACGGACUACUAUAGUAAGUCCAGUGACUACUAGAGUAGAGUUGAG